GACGAACGCUGGCGGCGUGCUUAACACAUGCAAGUCGAACGGAAAGGCCCUGCUUUUGUGGGGUGCUCGAGUGGCGAACGGGUGAGUAACACGUGAGUAACCUGCCCUUGACUUUGGGAUAACUUCAGGAAACUGGGGCUAAUACCGGAUAGGAGCUCCUGCUGCAUGGUGGGGGUUGGAAAGUUUCGGCGGUUGGGGAUGGACUCGCGGCUUAUCAGCUUGUUGGUGGGGUAGUGGCUUACCAAGGCUUUGACGGGUAGCCGGCCUGAGAGGGUGACCGGCCACAUUGGGACUGAGAUACGGCCCAGACUCCUACGGGAGGCAGCAGUGGGGAAUAUUGCACAAUGGGCGGAAGCCUGAUGCAGCAACGCCGCGUGCGGGAUGACGGCCUUCGGGUUGUAAACCGCUUUCGCCUGUGACGAAGCGUGAGUGACGGUAAUGGGUAAAGAAGCACCGGCUAACUACGUGCCAGCAGCCGCGGUGAUACGUAGGGUGCGAGCGUUGUCCGGAUUUACUGGGCGUAAAGGGCUCGUAGGUGGUUGAUCGCGUCGGAAGUGUAAUCUUGGGGCUUAACCCUGAGCGUGCUUUCGAUACGGGUUGACUUGAGGAAGGUAGGGGAGAAUGGAAUUCCUGGUGGAGCGGUGGAAUGCGCAGAUAUCAGGAGGAACACCAGUGGCGAAGGCGGUUCUCUGGGCCUUUCCUGACGCUGAGGAGCGAAAGCGUGGGGAGCGAACAGGCUUAGAUACUCUGGUAGUCCACGCUGUAAACGGUGGGUACUAGGUGUGGGGUCCAUUCCACGGGUUCCGUGCCGUAGCUAACGCUUUAAGUACCCCGCCUGGGGAGUACGGCCGCAAGGCUAAAACUCAAAGGAAUUGACGGGGCCCCGCACAAGCGGCGGAGCAUGCGGAUUAAUUCGAUGCAACGCGUAGAACCUUACCUGGGUUUGACAUGGAUCGGGAGUGCUCAGAGAUGGGUGUGCCUCUUUUGGGGUCGGUUCACAGGUGGUGCAUGGCUGUCGUCAGCUCGUGUCGUGAGAUGUUGGGUUAAGUCCCGCAACGAGCGCAACCCUUGUUCACUGUUGCCAGCACGUUAUGGUGGGGACUCAGUGGAGACCGCCGGGGUCAUCUCGGAGGAAGGUGGGGAUGACGUCAAGUCAUCAUGCCCCUUAUGUCCAGGGCUUCACGCAUGCUACAAUGGCUGGUACAGAGAGUGGCGAGCCUGUGAGGGUGAGCGAAUCUCGGAAAGCCGGUCUCAGUUCGGAUUGGGGUCUGCAACUCGACCUCAUGAAGACGGAGUCGCUAGUAAUCGCAGAUCAGCAACGCUGCGGUGAAUACGUUCCCGGGGCU
This 1346-nucleotide ribosomal RNA is filed under the name uncultured bacterium. Its description in RNAcentral is "partial 16S ribosomal RNA". It matches the Rfam family "Bacterial small subunit ribosomal RNA", at positions 28 to 1381 of the family's 1533-position model. The record is from RNAcentral.